GUCUUUUUUAGGGCCACACUCUUCGCAUAUGGAAGUUCUCAGGCUAGGGGCUGAACUGAAGCUGCAGCUGCCGGCCUACCCCACAGCCACAGCAACAUCAGAUCCAAGCCACAUCUGCAACCUACACCACAGCUCACAGCAAUGCUGGAUCCUUCGCCCACUGAGCGAGGCCAGGGAUCAAACCCGCCUCCUCAGGGAUACUAGUCGAGUUCAUUACCACUGAGCCACAAUGGGAACUCCCUAAUUCUACAUAUUUUCUAGUUUCUGACUUGGAGCAACAGGAUACAUUUUUAAAAACAGAAAUGCAAAGUAAAUAUUAUUAUUUUUAACAUUUAAAAAAAAAAAGUCACUCCUGCUUGGGUAUCUUCUUUAGGUUUCAUGGGAAAGGCAACUUUCACCUGCCAACACUCCCAGCAACUGAGCAAAGGAACAUCUCAGUCCUGGGAGCAGAAGGAGGAGGGGUGGGAUCCAUCGAGCAAUGUCUACUAUCCUGGCUGAUGGGGGGAGUGGGGGGGGGAGAGUUUCUUUUCACUCCGUGUCCUUUUGUAUAUUUUCCAUUGUGUAUUGGUAUCGCAAUGUAUUUGUCAACUCAAUACCUGCUCAAAAAUAAACAACUGAAAACAGCAACCACCAAAAAUAAAAGAAGAAGAAAGCUUAUUUUCAUAUAGGUUUAAAAAGACAGCAGAAAGGCUACACCCAAUCAAGGAAGAUGGCUCUCGUUAAAAAUUGCAUGAGAUGCUAUCAACAUGCAAAGCAUGGUAAUAGCCUGAGAUAAUUUAUUCUGAUUCCCAAAACCCAAGGAAAAAAAAAAUCAUUAAUAUGGACUCUUUCACCUCGAAAUCUACAGGAACGCGCCACCUCCUGCACUUCUCAGGCUGGCGUCCCCCCCGCCUCCCUUUAACUGUGGCUCCAGAAUAUCCCUUCCCCUCACUCUGGCUUCUCAGUCUACAUCUCUCUUUGCUUGUAUGUUUCAUGCUCAGCUUCCCUCGACUUCCCUUUGAAGUUGACAUUCUUGUCACCCUUAUUCUCCCCAGGGCUGCCUUUUUUCUCUCUCUCUCUUUUUUGGCUACAAUAUGAAAAUAUAUGAGAAGGCUUUAUUGAACAGCCUGGAUUUUCUCCCAUUCAUAUGAAAUCAGAGGAGCAAAGCCAUCCAUUUACAUCUCUCUCUCAAAAAAAAACAAAAAACCCACUAAAUCAAAUUAUUUUUGUUUUGGGAGGUCACUGCUUUUCAGUGGCCCAUCAUACCCCCUCUCCCUCCAGAGAGGCCCCGGGGAAGACAGACUCACCCUAGCCGAGAAAUCACACCAGCAGACAUUGAUGAUAAGCUGAUUAAAAUGUAUCUUAAGAAAAAGGCUGUGAGGUAAGGUGUGGUUUGGCAAUUUAGAGUCUGCCCAGAAAUCUGGAGACCACAGUUAAGUGUGUAGCUCCUAGGAGGUCAUAAAAAUAGCAUCUUAUUCUCAUUCGGGAGGACAAAUCCUUGGUACAUCAGCAUAAACUGAACCCAGAUGAGUUUUGCCCAAAACAAGCACAGGAAGUUCCCCUUAUGUCUCAGUGGUAAGGAACCCAACUAGGAUCCAUGAGGAGGUGGAUUCGAUCCCUGGCCUCUCUCAGUGGGUUAACGAUCCAGCAUUGCCAUGAGCUGAGGUGUAGGUUGCAGACACAGCUCAGAUCUGGUGUUGCUGGGGCUGUGGUGUAGGUCAGCAGCUAGAGCUCCAACUGGACCCUAGCCUGGGAAGUUCUGUAUGUCGCAUUUACAGCCCUAAAAAAGCCGAAACAAACAAACAAAAAACACCAAAAAAUCAACCAAACAAAACAAUCAUAGCCAUUGAAACAUCCUGACAUCAAGACCAGGCAUGGAGAGAAGUCCAGAAAGCCAGCAGAUUACAGCUGGUGAGAUCAUGCAGUCAAUCUAACAGUGAAACAAGAUUUGAAACAUCAUCACUUCAGUAGAAAGUAGAAAAUUAAGUAUCCAGCAGAGUAACAGUGAAAGAUACCCGUCAGCUAAGCAGUUCUGCUCCUCCCUGGAGGAUAUAAAGAGUUUGGAGAGAACAACAGUAUCUCAAAAAGAAAAAGUAUUUUGAGAGGGUUCUGAUUUUUUUUUUCUAACUUGGAAAUAGAAACACAUAUUUAAUUAUAACGGUUCUCAGAAUGGAAAUAUUGGCUUCUGGACUUUAAAUACAUCAGCCUCAGAUCUUAUUAUUCUUCUACCUUUAGCCAUUUUUGCCUUCAUGAGUUAUUUAUCACUUCACUUGCAAUGACUUUGAUAUGUAAAUUAAAGCCACUGUACCAAAUGUUAUGAUUCAGAUAAAGAUCUAGAAACACUAAUAUUUUUCAUUAUGGAUUUUUGCUUAUCCAACUGAAUCCAACAGAAUUGCCCAAUUGGUAGGGAAAAUAUCUGCACAGAGUGUCAUAGAAUUUUAAAACCACUGACAAUCCAAACACAUCGACUAAAGAUGUCCAUCAUAAAGGCAUCUCAAUUUGUAAUUAUGGCACAUGGUCUCGUAAUUUGAACACCAGGAUCAAAUUUCCUGUUUAAAAUAGAGAAGAAUCAUUCCUCCACCCAGUUUGCAAAGGUCUGAGUCUUUAGGCUCAGAAAUGUAUUAAACAGAGUGGUUGAUAUUUCAGGCAUCAUCUGCAUUUACCAGCCACAUGGCCUUGGCCAAGUUAUACAGCCUCUCUUUGCCUGGGUUUCUUUAACUGUAAAAAACGGUGAAGAAAGAGAACUUGCCACAAGCAUGGAACACGAUAAUCCAAGUAAAAGUGCUGACUUAGCCCAGCACCAAUACAAUAAUCCAAUAAAAGUGCUGACUUAGCCCAGCACCAAUACAUGUCAGUUGAUUUUAGUUCCUUAGGCAGAAUGAUGCAGUGACAGCUUUGUCACAUUCUUAAGAUUUAAGGAACUACUGUUCUUAAAGAUGGAGAGAUGGCCAUACAGUCUCUUGCUGAGGUCAGGGAAGGGGGGCAACAUGUGGCUACAUUCAAACAAAGAAGCAGAGGCUGACAUGUCUCUGGACCAGAUGUUGUCCCACCUCACUCAUCUCUUGUGCCCUGAGAUGGUCAGAGGGAAAAGGAAGCUUCUCUGGUCACUCAGACACCUGUCAGGGGACCCAUGAGCAUCCUGUGAUGGAGCUAGGGUCCUAAUACCUUGGACAGCUAAUGGCAAAGCAGAACAAGAGUCCAGGGACAGGGCAGAGACCGCCUCAAGAUCCCUGAAUGUUUUUGCCUCCUGCAGCUCCGAUGUUUCUUUAAAAAAAAAUAAAAAUAAAAAUGGGGAUGGGGUGGGAUGGAUGGGGAGUUUGGGGUUAGUAGAUGCAAACUAUUACAUUUAAAUGGAUAAGCAGUAAGGUCUACUGUAUAGCACCAGGAACUAUAUCCAGUCUCUUGGGAUAGACUAUAAGCAAAGACAACAUAAGAAGGAGAAUGUGUGUAUAUAUAUGUGACUUGGUCACAAAACUAAAACUGUGUAACUGUGUGCUCCAAUAAUAACAAUAAUAAUAAUAAUAAUAAAGUCUUUAAUUUAAAAAAAGAAAAGGAACAGGGAAUGUGUGUGUGUGUGUGUAUGACUGGGUCACUUUGCUGUAUAGCAGAAAUUGGCACAACAUUGUAAAACAACUACAAUAAAAAAAAAGCCAAAGUUAGAACUGGAGAAGGGCUGUCCCUAAACAGAGAUGGCAUUUCAUCUCUUACGUAUCCAUUCAUUCAUCACUCACUUACUCACUGAUAUCUGCAUAUCCUGAGCCCAGCCUUGUAAGAGCAGCUGGAGACACAGAGGUGUCUAAAAGGCAGCCCUUGUCCUUGGGGAGCCUACGGGCUAUUGGGGAAAAGGCCUGUCAAAAGACAUACUUAUCCCAGGGUUUUACAGGCCAUGAGAUGCUGAGCUGGGAUGCUGAAGGACAGAGGAAGAGAAGAGCAGCAGGUGCAGAAUGGCAGAGUCACGGGCACACCAUGUGUUCUUCCAGUCGUACACGGUCCAGAGAGGCUGCCGUGAGGAGGGGAUGGGAGAAUGAAUGGUGUAAGAUGCUGUCUGGGUUUCAAGGGACCUUGCACACAAGCUGGGGAGCUGGGCGUCACCCUGGGAGCAACUGGGACCAUCCGCAGGACAGUAGGCAAGAGAAUGACAUGCUCAGGUUUGCAUUUAAGAAAGAUCAUCCUGCCGCCUUUGCCCCUUGUACACUCCCGAUUCAUCCUGUUGGCUGGGCAUCUGUGACAGUGGCUCCAUUGGCAUAGAAUCUGAUCAUCCAACCUCCACAGAGUGCUGGGGCUCCUCACGCUUCAGUAUCCUUUACUCCAGGUUUACUCGAGUGGAGUGGAGAGGAAAAGCAUCUUCCAGCUGCAGAUCACAUUUCUAGUCGCUGACACCCAUCUCCAACCCGCCCACGAGAGAUAGCUCCUCCCACAUCCCAGGCCAAACGCAUCACCUCUCCCACAAAACUGGCUUUUCCUUCUUCAUUUUCUGGUCACCUGGGUUCCAAAACUUCUUGCCACAUCCUAUCUCCCCUGAAGACCUGCUGCUGUGUCUUCCUUCAAAAAUCGCUGCAUCUCCCCACUUCCUGCACAGCCCUACUGCCCCACCCUAUAGACUGUAGUGAUCUCACCCAUGAACUCUCACCACAAUGACCCACCUGGGCUCUCAGCCACCAGUCGUCCUUUUGUCAGCCCGUCUUCCAUGACCAAGUCACUCCCUGCCAAAGCUAGCAGACUCCAAACUCCUAGCAGUCUGGAACUGACCAAUGUUGGUGAGACAGUCAUGCCCAAGGCAGCUAGGUCCCCGAGAGGCUUUCCAGCACGAUGGCCUUCCUUCCUCUCACCUUGCCACGUCCUCCUGCUGAAUAAAUCACCCAACCCACUCUGCACUUCCUACUCUGCCUUCUGCUCAGUGUGGACCGGGUCAGGGUCUCCCAAACUACCAAGAAAUCAGGUCCUUGCAGAUGUAGCCAGUUGAGAUAAGGUCAUGCUGGAUUAAGGUGUGCCCUCAUCUAGUGACUGGUGGCCUUACAGGAAGAGAAAAUAGAGACAAAGACAUAUGAAGAGAAGAUGGCCAUGUGACAGUGGAAGUAUAGGCUGGAACCAUGUGCCCCAAAGGCAAGGAUGGGCCCAAACAAAUGCCAAGGUUUGCUGGCCACUACAAGAAGCUAGGAGUCAAGAAACAGAAUCUCCUUCAGAGGUUCCAAAAGGAAGUUCUUGAUUUCAGACUUCCAGCCUCCCGAACGUGAGAGAAUACAUUUCUAUUGUUUUCAGGAGAAACUGGUAUAUUGUUAUGGCCACAGGAAAUUAACACACAGUGCCCCGUGCCACCACCAAGAAUGGCCAGUGCUUGUUUGUCUACUUGUCCAGUGAGACCUUCCCCAAAGGCCCAGCUCAAAUUCCUCAUGCUCCUGUGGGUAGCCAUGGACUCUCCCACUCCUCUGAUAAAAACUCUGCCAUGUCUUACCAGUCCUGGGUUCCUGGGGGCCAUACAUUCCAAAGGCCACUGAUUCCAGUUCAGUCACCUUUGAAUUACUAAUUGACAAGCUUCCUCAGGUGUGUUUCUCUUGCAAAUGAGGGCCAGCAAAGGGGUUUGGUUAAUUUCUUUCCAGAGUAGUCACUGUUUUACUUUACGGCCACAAGCUUCCCUCCUAGUGUCAGCCACCAUUUCCCACGUAUGUGUGGUCACCUGUGGAGGCAAAUACACAGCCUUCCAACUCUCCAUCAUCUAACUUCAACUUCCCUUUCUCUUUAUCAUCCUCAUACCAUCCACUGUGCCAUUCUACUCAACCUAACAAAUCAGAAGAUGCAGCCACAUGUGAAUCCCAAAUAAACCCUGCACCCUCCCACCUCCACAUCCAUCCGAGAAUGCCCUUCUCUAUCUUCCCAUCCCCUAAAAUCCUUCUAGCCCUUCAAGGCUGACUCCAAUGCCAUCCUUUCUAAAAGGUCUUUCUUCAUCCCAGGCCAUGGGAAAUUUACUCCCUUCUUGUAUUGGUCAGAGUUCGGCUUAUAUCUACAGCAGGGUACUUGGAAGGUGAGCAUGGCUGCAAUGUUGUAAAACUCUGCACCUUACCAACUCUGCUGCAGGUGACCUAGAGCAAAUCACUUAACCUCUUUGGAUGUCAGUUUUCCCACCUACACAAUUGGUAUGACUGUAGCACUGGCCAUAUAGUGUCAUGAGGGUUAAAUGAGAUAAUGCAGGUAAAGCUUUGAGCAGACUCCGACUUGGCAACACUCAAUGUAUGCUAGUGG
RNAcentral lists this long non-coding RNA (6216 nucleotides) under Sus scrofa (pig). RNAcentral's name for it is "lncRNA (ENSSSCG00015062254.1)". The record is from RNAcentral. Lineage: Eukaryota; Metazoa; Chordata; Mammalia; Artiodactyla; Suidae.